This is a long non-coding RNA of Amphiprion ocellaris (clown anemonefish), 964 nucleotides long. RefSeq lists it as uncharacterized. The transcript is spliced from 2 exons. NCBI's taxonomy places the organism in Eukaryota, Metazoa, Chordata, Actinopteri, Pomacentridae. The record is from RefSeq and is a predicted model, not a curated record.
UACUACCACCAAUACUACCAAUAGUUAUAAAUAGUUAUAAAGCCUAAUUCAUGUAUAUCCAGAUUACCAUCUAAUGUUCUUCCUCCAAACCCAUUUUAUGAUUGGGAUUACAGGCAGUUCUUUAGGACUGCUCUCAAAUAAUUGAAAUGUUACUAAACAAGGUUAUACUUAUCAAAUUAAAUAGCUCUGGUCUCCAGUAUAUUGGCGAAUUCGGUUCUUUGUACUUAAUUUAUUAGCAUGAUUUCUUUUUAAUAUGUUGUGUACAGACUUAAUUACUUCUCUGUCUACUUUUCUUACUCCAUGUAGGUUUCCCAGAGACUAUGGGUUGAGGAGGAAUUGGAAGUUUGUCGGCUUAGACCUGGUAUCAUUCCAUCAGUGUUUAACUUCCUGGCUUAUCUUGGAAGAGUACGUGCCAGAAAGACCACAACCAAGCAGCCUUGAGAUCUUAGACAGCGUCUCCCUCAGGUCCCUCUCUAUCUCCCCACACAUCCACCAACCACUGGAACACAUCUCCAAAGUUCUGCCGGGCCAGCUCAGCUUCCCCUCAGAAGAAGUGCUGCCACCUGCCAGAUGAAGGAGCCUUUUGAGAGGCAGCUGGCAUCGUGAUUGGACUGUACUUUGGUCUGUUCCAAUCCAGCUUCAGCUCCAGAGACGGCAGGCGGGACGAGUCAACGGAGGCCUGGUGGACGAAGGCAUGCAGCUGAGUACAAUCCAGAAAACAACAGAGGAGGAGUGCAGCAGCCCAGAGCCAGAACAGAGUAGCAUCGUAUGUCUCUUAGAAAACAUCAUAGUAUAGCCUUUGGUAUGAAAAAACGGCACAAUAUACAUCGUAUAUUGUACAAAUAACAAGUCAAAGGAAAGAGACAUACAUUGUAGAAUUGUAGUAAUUGUGGACUGACUGAUUUACUGAUUAUCAGUAUUUUAUUUUUUACUGAUUUACAGUAAUAAAUACAUUUAAAAAUGG